UACAGAGGGGGCAAGCGUUGUUCGGAAUUACUGGGCGUAAAGGGCGCGUAGGUGGCCUUCUAAGUCGAACGUGAAAUCCCUGGGCUCAACCCAGGAACUGCGUCCGAGACUGGGAGGCUUGAAUCCGGGAGAGGGAUGCGGAAUUCCAGGUGUAGCGGUGAAAUGCGUAGAUAUCUGGAGGAACACCGGUGGCGAAGGCGGCAUCCUGGACCGGUAUUGACACUUAGGCGCGAAAGCCAGGGGAGCAAACGGG
Molecule: ribosomal RNA, 253 nt
Filed under: uncultured bacterium
Lineage: Bacteria
Description: partial 16S ribosomal RNA
Rfam family: Bacterial small subunit ribosomal RNA
Source: RNAcentral